GGGAAAACUCAUAUUUACACAUUUCCCCUUGUUUUUUCGUUAUUUUAACAAUAUAUGUUCUUAAUGACGUCCUGACUGAUUCGCUGGCCCUUAUUUUUCCCUUUUUUCUACUGAUGAUAGAUGUAUUAAAAAUACAGAUUACUAUGGAGGUAAAAAAGGUACUUUUUAAAAAUAUUUCUUAAUUGAGCUUUGUGUUACUCCACGUGUUAACUUAAACUUGUACUAACCUUAACUUGAAGAAUAAGACGAAAUGAUCUUGACCUAAAGUACAGUGUUAGGUUAGAUUACCCAGCCCUCAGCUCUAUAGUUGACCCAUAAUGUAAAAACCUUUUAAAAAAUUUAAAAGAAUAUGUUUGGAGAAACAAGGCCUUUCUUUCUAGUCUGCACAAAUAUGGAGGUACAUAACUGCCAAAAUUAAAAAGAAAUUAAUAAAUAAUUUAUUUAAUAGAUAAACGAAUUUGUAACUAAUUAAUGUUGUAAUAAAAUUUUAAUAAAACUACAUCACGUUGCUCAGGUAUUUAUUCACAUCAAUUUAUUAAUAAUGAACAAAAAAGUAAUCCUGACCUUAAAUCAUACUUUAAGUUAGAUCCACUGUUGACCUAUUUGCAUAAAAAGACUAGAUAACAUAAAAAGUAUAAAAAGAAAAAAAAAUUAAAAUAAAGAAAAACAUGGAAAAAAAAUGCAAGAAAAAAUCAUACAAAAUGCCAAAAGUUAAAUGUGAAUAAUUUUUAUACCCCACCUUGAAACUUUGGAGAUACUAGCAACUACCACAUAAAUAAUAAUUUUAAAGUAAUUAGUUGACUGGUUGAGGAGGCGUUCGAAUGAGACAAAAAGGCAGCGGCCUGGGUUUCAGUCUGAUCUGCAGCUCUUUCCUUCUCUUUGUCCCCCUCUUUCCUGUCUACUCUUCACAGCUAAAGUAUCAAAGACAAAAGUAAAUAUAAAUAAAAGAGAAUUAAGUAAUAAUAUUUAAAAUGACAAAAGUGAUCUAAUUUUAUUUUAUACAUUUUCUUUUAGCUCCCUUUUAUUCAUUUUUGCUUGGAUUGGUUCUUGCAUUAUUG
Long non-coding RNA from Astatotilapia calliptera (eastern happy), 1058 nucleotides. NCBI's taxonomy places the organism in Eukaryota, Metazoa, Chordata, Actinopteri, Cichliformes, Cichlidae. The record is from Ensembl.